Molecule: long non-coding RNA, 473 nt
Filed under: Pogona vitticeps (central bearded dragon)
Lineage: Eukaryota; Metazoa; Chordata; Lepidosauria; Squamata; Agamidae
Description: lncRNA (ENSPVIG00000022990.1)
Source: RNAcentral
AUGUUCUACUGCAGAGCACUGAGAGGAAUUGCUUUUGCCACUGGAGCAGUGGGCGUCUGCCUCACCGUUUGUCUCGCAGCCUUUAUCUGUCGAACCAUCUGUUACCACAGCUCUGAUGACACUGCGGUAAGAAGACCCAGAAGAGGCAAACAGGAAAAGAAGGAUGGGGGAAGAACCUAGCUGGGAUUAGGUGGAGAUGUGAUGUGAAACAAAAUUAUAAAACCAGUAAACGGCCUUAAUGUGCAACUAGAUGGAGGAACUUGGAGCAAUCCAGGUUGCAUUUAAAAGGCUCUUACUGUCAAGGCAAUCUAUUUUAUCUCACACUUGAAUGAUCCCUCCAUCCACACAGGAGAUGUUUCUUCUCCCUUUUCUCUGAACAUAACACUGCCCACAGCUCUAUUUGUGGGCACAUCAAGCAACCAUGCAAACUGCGGAACAGGAUCCAAAUAAACUGCAGCCCUAAUGCUAUGCCA